This 542-nucleotide ribosomal RNA is filed under the name uncultured bacterium. Its description in RNAcentral is "bacterial SSU rRNA". It matches the Rfam family "Bacterial small subunit ribosomal RNA", at positions 777 to 1320 of the family's 1533-position model. The record is from RNAcentral.
AAUAGAUACCCUGGUAGUCCACCCGUAAACGUUGGAACUAGUUGUGGGUCCUUUCCACGGAUUCCGUGACGCAGCUAACGCAUUAAGUUCCCCGCCUGGGGAGUACGGCCGCAAGGCUAAAACUCAAAGGAAUUGACGGGGACCCGCACAAGCGGCGGAGCAUGCGGAUUAAUUCGAUGCAACGCGAGGAACCUUACCAAGGCUUGACAUACACCAGAACACCCUGGAAACAGGGGACUCUUUGGACACUGGUGAACAGGUGGUGCAUGGUUGUCGUCAGCUCGUGUCGUGAGAUGUUGGGUUAAGUCCCGCAACGAGCGCAACCCUCGUUCUAUGUUGCCAGCACGUAAUGGUGGGAACUCAUGGGAUACUGCCGGGGUCAACUCGGAGGAAGGUGGGGAUGACGUCAAAUCAUCAUGCCCCUUAUGUCUUGGGCUUCACGCAUGCUACAAUGGCCGGUACAAUGGGCUGCGAUACCGUAAGGUGGAGCGAAUCCCAAAAAGCCGGUCCCAGUUCGGAUUGAGGUCUGCAACUCGACCUCA